GAGGCAGCAGUGGGGAAUAUUGCGCAAAUGGGCGAAAAGCCUGACGCAGCGACGCCGCGUGGGUGAGGAAGGCCUUCGGGUUGUAAAGCCCUGUCAGGUGGAACGAAUGUCGCCCCGAGCGAAUAACUCGGGGAGGUGACGGUACCACCAGAGGAAGCCCCGGCAAACUACGUGCCAGCAGCCGCGGUAAUACGUAGGGGGCGAGCGUUGUUCGGAAUUACUGGGCGUAAAGAGCGCGUAGGCGGUCAAAUAAGUCGGGCGUGAAAUCCCUCAGCUUAACUGAGGUUUGGCGCUUGAAACUAUUUGACUUGAGUUUAGGAGAGGAGAGCGGAAUUCCCAGUGUAGCGGUGAAA
This 353-nucleotide ribosomal RNA is filed under the name uncultured Nitrospirales bacterium. Its description in RNAcentral is "bacterial SSU rRNA". It matches the Rfam family "Bacterial small subunit ribosomal RNA", at positions 345 to 686 of the family's 1533-position model. The record is from RNAcentral. Lineage: Bacteria; Pseudomonadati; Nitrospirota; Nitrospiria; Nitrospirales.